RNAcentral lists this ribosomal RNA (1314 nucleotides) under uncultured archaeon. RNAcentral describes it as "bacterial SSU rRNA". It matches the Rfam family "Archaeal small subunit ribosomal RNA", at positions 21 to 1335 of the family's 1478-position model. The record is from RNAcentral.
AGGUCACCGCUAUUGGGAUACGCUUAAGCCAUGCGAGUCGAGAGGGUUCGGCCCUCGGCGGACGGCUCAGUAACACGCGGAUAAUCUGCCCUGGGGUGGGGGAUAAGCUCGGGAAACUGAGUAUAAUACCCCAUAGAUUUAAGGCACUGGAAUGUCCAUAAGUUGAAAGCUCCGGCGCCCCAGGAUGAGUCUGCGGCCUAUCAGGCUGUAGGGGGUGUAACGGACCCCCUAACCUUCGACGGGUACGGGCCUUGGGAGAGGUUGCCCGGAGAUGGAUUCUGAGACACGAAUCCAGGCCCUACGGGGCGCAGCAGGCGCGAAAACUUCGCAAUGUGGGAAACCACGACGAGGGAAUCCCAAGUGCCAGUACACUGUACUGGCUGUUUUUCUGUCUAAAACACAGGAAGAGUAAGGGCUGGGUAAGACGGGUGCCAGCCGCCGCGGUAAUACCCGCAGCCCGAGUGGUGAUCGGUAUUAUUGGGCCUAAAACGUCCGUAGCCGGUCUCAGUAAAUUCUCUGGGUAAAUCGGAGUGCUCAACAUUCCGAAUUCCGGGAAGACUGCUGGGCUCGGGACCGGGGGAGGUCGGAGGUACUUCGGGGGUAGGGGUGAAAUCCUGUAAUCCCCGAGGGACCACCAGUGGCGAAGGCGUCCGACCAAAACGGAUCCGACGGUAAGGGACGAAGCCCUGGGUCGCAAACGGGAUUAGAUACCCCGGUAGUCCAGGGUGUAAACGCUGCGGGCUUGGUGUCGGGGGUCCCACGGGGGCGUCCGGUGCCGGAGUGAAGAUGUUAAGCCCGCUGCCUGGGGAGUACGGUCGCAAGACUGAAACUUAAAGGAAUUGGCGGGGGAGCACCGCAACGGGUGGAGCGUGCGGUUCAAUUGGAUUCAACGCCGGAAAACUCACCGGGGGCGACGGUUAUAUGAAGGCCAGGCUGAUGACCUUGCCAGAUUUUCCGAGAGGUGGUGCAUGGCCGUCGUCAGUUCGUACCGUAAGGCGUUCUGUUAAGUCAGAUAACGAACAAGACCCCUACCCCUAAUUGCCAUCCUUUCCCUUGGGGGAAGAGGAACAUUAGGGGAACCGCUGGCGCUAAGUCAGAGGAAGGAGGGGGCAAACKAKASKKCAKWAKGSMMYGAAUCUMYCGGGCUACACGCGCGCUACAAAGGCUGRCACAAUWGGAUACGACACCGAGAGGUGAAUCAGGUAAUCCUGAAAUCCAGUCCUAGUUCGGAUUGRGGGCUGUAAUUCGCCCUCAUGAAGCUGGAAUCCGUAGUAAUCGCGUGUCAACAUCACGCGGUGAAUAUGCCCCUGCUCC